AACGAACGCUGGCGGCAGGCCUAACACAUGCAAGUCGAACGGACCUUUCGGGGUUAGUGGCGGACGGGUGAGUAACGCGUGGGAAUAUGCCCUUCGGUUCGGAAUAGCCUCGGGAAACUGGGAGUAAUACCGGAUACGGUCUACGGACGAAAGAUUUAUCGCCGAAGGAUUAGCCCGCGUUGGAUUAGGUAGUUGGUGGGGUAAUGGCCUACCAAGCCGACGAUCCAUAGCUGGUUUGAGAGGAUGAUCAGCCACACUGGGACUGAGACACGGCCCAGACUCCUACGGGAGGCAGCAGUGGGGAAUAUUGGACAAUGGGCGAAAGCCUGAUCCAGCAAUGCCGCGUGAGUGAUGAAGGCCUUAGGGUUGUAAAGCUCUUUUACCCGGGAUGAUAAUGACAGUACCGGGAGAAUAAGCUCCGGCUAACUCCGUGCCAGCAGCCGCGGUAAU
Molecule: ribosomal RNA, 450 nt
Filed under: uncultured bacterium
Lineage: Bacteria
Description: bacterial SSU rRNA
Rfam family: Bacterial small subunit ribosomal RNA
Source: RNAcentral